AUUGAACGCUGGCGGUAGGCCUAACACAUGCAAGUCGAGCGGAUGAAGGUAGCUUGCUACCUGAUUCAGCGGCGGACGGGUGAGUAAUGCCUAGGAAUCUGCCUGGUAGUGGGGGACAACGUUUCGAAAGGAACGCUAAUACCGCAUACGUCCGACGGGAGAAAGUGGGGGAUCUUCGGACCUCCCGCUAUCAGAUGAGCCUGGGUGCGAUUAGCUAGUUGGUGAGGUAAAGGCUCACCAAGGCGACGAUCGUUAACUGGUCUGAGAGGAUGAUCAGUCACACUGGAACUGAGACACGGUCCAGACUCCUACGGGAGGCAGCAGUGGGGAAUAUUGGACAGUGGGCGAAAGCCUGAUCCAGCCAUGCCGCGUGUGUGAAGAAGGUCUUCGGAUUGUAAAGCACUUUAAGUUGGGAGGAAGGGCAGUAAGUUAAUACCUAGCUGUUUUGACGUUACCGACAGAAUAAGCACCGGCUAACUUCGUGCCAGCAGCCGCAGUAA
Molecule: ribosomal RNA, 500 nt
Filed under: uncultured bacterium
Lineage: Bacteria
Description: partial 16S ribosomal RNA
Rfam family: Bacterial small subunit ribosomal RNA
Source: RNAcentral